GUGUUUGCGUGCGUGUUGAGAAGAGUAGAGGAGCCACCUGGACUCCGGCGGAAGACUUCGGGAUCCCAGGACAGAUUUGGCUGAAGAGCUAAGGGAGUUCUGCAGCAGUUCACUUGGUGGGAAAAUCAGAUGUCCUGCUCUUGGCUUGGUACCAAACGUUUGCAUUACUAAGAAACAUGAAAGAAUACAGGAAGUCCUGCAUGACCUUAUGAAUACCUGUGCUAAUUAAGUCACUGGCUUGGUACUGGGAGAACAGCAAGAUAAUAACACAGAGUUUUGUCUGGGAAAUACAAAUCUGAGAAUGGAGUGGAAAGGGAAAUGCUCCAAAUUUCAGGUAACAAAAAUUGCCUUUUUAAUGUUAUGUCCUCCCAUUGUAAAGUUUGAUUUUUUUUUUUUUUU
RNAcentral lists this long non-coding RNA (399 nucleotides) under Corvus moneduloides (New Caledonian crow). RNAcentral describes it as "lncRNA (ENSCMUG00000016924.1)". Lineage: Eukaryota; Metazoa; Chordata; Aves; Passeriformes; Corvidae. The record is from RNAcentral.